Molecule: long non-coding RNA, 332 nt
Organism: Amphimedon queenslandica
Lineage: Eukaryota; Metazoa; Porifera; Demospongiae; Haplosclerida; Niphatidae
Exons: 3
Source: RefSeq, a predicted model, not a curated record
UAAGCAUAUUCUGCUGCCUUCUACUCCAAUUUUGGUAAUUAUAAAAGUUUCGGUGAUACCAAAUUCAUUCCUGAUCUUCCUCAAGAGAAGCUGGAGAAACUCAUCACCUCCAGUCAGUGUUACCGUGACAACAAGGAGAGGAUCUCAUUCCUCUGGUCCUCAGUGGCGGAUGGGAUGUUCUCACUCCACCCACCUGCUGUACGACAGUUAGCGUUCCCUCCUGAUGGUAUAACGACUUACUAUUCGGGUAACUGUGGUAAAGAAGAUGCUGAAAUCAUAAAAGAAUUUAUGUUGAAUAAAGAUUUGAGCCCAUACAAUACAAGAUUGUUCAA